UAUUAUAAAGAAGCUGAAGCUUCUUUCUUCCUCUCCUUCAGCCCGAGCACCCACACACACGCACGCAUGGUGCUAGUGAGAGAAACCUUCAUUCCUCUCUCUAGAUUUCUCUCUCAUUUCUCUAUAUCUCUCGCUCAAAUUCGCGGGGUUGGUGGAGAAUAUGCUUGCGAACGCGUUGGAGGCGACGGAUUGAGCUUUCGUGCGCCCGUUGGAGCGGUGUGUUGUCGUCGCGGCGUUCACAUUGAGGUAAGCUUUUAGGAUUUGGCUUAAUCCUUAGCUUUAAGUAUUCUAAUAGCCUCUAAUGAGCUUUGUUAGCAUGUUGAUCCAUUUAAUUUUGGAUUAUUUUGAGGUUAAUAGCAUAUUAGGGCUCCGAAUGGGGUUUUGUAAAAUGUAAGGGUUUGAUCUAAAUUGACCCUAUAUAAACCUAAUUGCUAGGUAAACGAACGCGUUGGCGAAGACGGUUCGGCAAUCCGACAAGCCGUUGCGAAGUUAUUAAAGAAACGGACGUUUAGGCUUCGGGUCCGCCGGGAGGGCCGAGGCGAUAUCGUAAAUUCAUGAAAAUGGAUUUGAAGCUUCGUGGCACAUAACCGAAGACCUUUAAUUUUCGGAUCGUGAAUUGGAGGCCGUUCGGGUGGUCGCGUGAGAGAUCGGGCCAAACCGGGUUACGGGUGCCGCGGGAGGCCGAUUGCAAGUGUCGACAAGCAAUCGGAAUGCGAAAUGAGGUGGGUUGUGCUCACCGAAGCGAUUAGGUCGCUUUCCAUGCUAAAGUGUAGUAUGUUUACUAUUGACGCAUGAUAAAGUAUGCUAUUUAAGAAUGCAUGAUAAAGAUUAAAGUAUGCUAUUUGAGAAUGCAUGAUAAAGUAUGCUAAUUAAGAAUGCAUGAUAAAAAUAGAUGCCAAAUGAAUGCAUGAGUUGAUGUUAAUUUAUAUGUGCAUAUUAUAGAAAUGCUAAAUAGAUGUCAAAUGAAAGUAUGAGAUUGUACUAACCGAGAAUGCAUGUAGUAAAUGUUAACGAAUGCAUAAAAUGCUAAGUGAUGACUACCAAUGGAUGACAAAAUAUAUGCAUGUUGAACAUAGAUCGAGUGGCAUUCGAAAUGGUAAAGUGGACACUAGAGUUAGUGUGGGACAUCAAAGAAUAAAUGUGAUGUAAAGAACAAUGAUAAUGGCUAAAGAUAAUGUAAAACAAUGUGAUGAUAAUAAUGUAAUGUUGCAUGAUGUGAGUACACGUGCUUAUUAGAAUGAUUAAGAAUCUGAAUAAUCUAUGUGUAUGCAUGAGAUGUAAUGUGAGAACCUAAUGAUAAUGGUUUGAGACAAGGCAAAGCAAUGUGAUGUAAAGAAUAAUGAUAAUGGCUAAAGACAAUGUAAUGUAAUGUGGCAUAAAGGACGUGUAAAGUUAAAGAAUGUGAAAGCUAAAGAUAGCUUAAAGUAAAGGAAUGUGAAAAACGUGAUUGCUAGAGUUAGCAAAAGUAAAAGAGAUGUAAAGAACAAUGAUUGCUAGAGUGGCAACAUAAAGUGAUGUAAAGAACACUAGAGUUAGUGUAAAGCCAUGAUUCAACUACAAAUCCUUUGAGUUAAGGAUAUGAUCAUACUUGCUAUGAGUUCCGUGCUCGAGGGCGGUCGCUCCCCCUCGGGCGAUGCGCUCCGGAGUUUGGCAUCCGGGUUGGAGUAGACCCGUAAGGACGGUCCUAGCUGGUGAGUUCCUGCGAUGAUGGACUUAAUGUGAAGCAAGUUAAUGUGGCGAAACCCCCGGGUUAGCCGUGAGAUUAAAGAACAAAGAACAAAAAGGGAUCAUGGAUUGGAAAGUGGAUCUUGUAUUCAUUAUGAAUUGACUCAAGACCGAGUCGAGUGGCAUAGUUGGCUAGGGUAAAGGUAACCCUGUGAAAGAAUGACAAUUGAGAAAG
RNAcentral lists this long non-coding RNA (1900 nucleotides) under Ananas comosus (pineapple). Its description in RNAcentral is "long non-coding RNA (ACOM_LNC022337)". Lineage: Eukaryota; Viridiplantae; Streptophyta; Magnoliopsida; Poales; Bromeliaceae. The record is from RNAcentral.